GUAGGUGGCAAGCGUUGUCCGGAAUUAUUGGGCGUAAAGCGCGCGCAGGCGGUUCUUUAAGUCUGAUGUGAAAGCCCACGGCUCAACCGCGGAGGGUCAUUGGAAACUGGAGAACUUGAGUACAGAAGAGGAAAGCGGAAUUCCACGUGUAGCGGUGAAAUGCGUAGAGAUGUGGAGGAACACCAGUGGCGAAGGCGGCUUUCUGGUCUGUAACUGACGCUGAGGCGCGAAAGCGUGGGGAGCAAACAGGAUUAGAUACCCUGGUAGUCCACGCCGUAAACGAUGAGUGCUAAGUGUUAGGGGGGUUUUCCGUCCCCCCCGUUAGUGCUGCAGCUAACGCAUUAAGCACUCCGCCCUGGGAGUACGGCCGCAAGGCUG
RNAcentral lists this ribosomal RNA (378 nucleotides) under uncultured organism. RNAcentral describes it as "partial 16S ribosomal RNA". It matches the Rfam family "Bacterial small subunit ribosomal RNA", at positions 527 to 896 of the family's 1533-position model. The record is from RNAcentral.